This 139-nucleotide small nucleolar RNA is filed under the name Zalophus californianus (California sea lion). RNAcentral's name for it is "Small nucleolar RNA SNORA31 (ENSZCAG00015016805.1)". It matches the Rfam family "Small nucleolar RNA SNORA31". From Rfam's summary of the family: ACA31 (SNORA31) belongs to the H/ACA class of snoRNAs which are thought to guide the sites of modification of uridines to pseudouridines. ACA31 is predicted to guide the pseudouridylation of U3713 in 28S rRNA and U218 in 18S rRNA. Lineage: Eukaryota; Metazoa; Chordata; Mammalia; Carnivora; Otariidae. The record is from RNAcentral.
AUGCAUCUAUUUGGCAGACCUAUUUGGUACAGUGACUGUCUGCUGCUAGAAUUUCCACUAUAGAUGCAAGAAAAAAGUGUCCUCAUGCUUUCUUUCUGUCUGGUUGUGGCAGCCAAGAUUGAAUGGGAGAAAUGCAGAG